UGGUGUGUGUUAUACUAGUUACAGCAAUCAAGUUAAGACGGUGGCUAUCCUAAUUGGAGGUGAUGCUUAUGGUGUAAACACUGUAAACUCACAUUCUGGGAAAGGAGAGGCCUUUUGUCCAUAUCGGACGCGUUACUGAUCAUGUUUGCCUUAAGUGCUUUAAUUUACAAGCGUAAAAAGGUUUAAA
RNAcentral lists this small RNA (187 nucleotides) under Leuconostoc suionicum. Its description in RNAcentral is "rli28". It matches the Rfam family "Listeria sRNA rli28". The record is from RNAcentral. Lineage: Bacteria; Bacillati; Bacillota; Bacilli; Lactobacillales; Lactobacillaceae.